ACUUCCGCUUCCGGCAACGGCGCCGGAAGCACGGGUCCGGGCCCUCCCGCGGGGCGGGUACUCGUCUCCCGGCCGAGCGACUUCAGCUCGGGGACCUGCCCCAUGGCCGCUCCCCAGCAGGACAGGGAAACCGCCGAGGUGGGGGGCUUCUUGUCCGUCCCAGCCCCCCCAACUCAGGCCCUCUCGCUGCCCCUGGCGACCACCGCGUGCGCCCUUCCCCAGGGCGGGCGCAGUCCUGGACGCCUCCGCCGAGCGUGACUGCGUGCAUUUUCUCUCCUUUCCCUUCCCAACCUGCGGAGAGAAGACAGCCCCAGAGCCGCUGUCUCCAUCCUCUGCUGAUGCCUGCUGUCUUUAUGUUGGCCUCGUCGUCCGCACUGCAGUGUGGCAGGGGCGUCCCUCGUUUCCCGCGGACUGAGGUGGGCGCCGGGCAUUCAGUAAACGAAGAAACCAAAGCGGAGAAGGUUGGGAAUCAAACGUCUGUCAUACCUGCCACCAGCAGACAAGCGGCUUUGGGUACCUCCUGGACCCAAAGACGAACUCAGCCCCUCCAGGAGCGCAGUCAUUGGCACCCUCGUGGGAACAAUGCCAGUGGGAUGGGUGGCCACCGGAUGUUUCCGGGGCCCCUCAGAGGCCCAGCAGCGCAGGUCUUGGAGAAUGAAUGUGGGUCACUGGGCCGCGCUGCAGAGGGCCGGUCCUGAGUCGCUUCCUGGAGGAGAGGCCCAUGGCCAGCACUUGGCUUCGCCUGGAGGAAGAAGCACGUGCUAAACCACGAGCGUUCAGGGUUUGUCUGUUUGAUAAAAGAUGCUGGCUUUGACACACCAACUGACAAAGUCUUUCAUAGGUUGGAGCUGCUAGGUUGUGCCCCUGCCCCUCCUGAAAAUUAGCCACACGAAAGGAAGGGUCUGGAAGGUGGCAGGGAAGCCAGCAGAGACCAGGGAAGUGGCAGCAGCAUGGGGCAGGGGCACACAGGAAGGAGAUGGAGCUUGCGGGAGCCCCCACUGCCACUCCGACAGGGAGCCCUGCCCCGUGCCCUGCUGAUGUUGACACUGACCCCGGCUCUAUUAUUUCAGUUUUUCCUUGUAAUUUCUGAAAAUCUAGCAACAAGUUGAGCAAUGAAAAAAAGUAAAAAAGUUAAAAUUGUGUUAGAAAUUAUGACUGUAAAGAAAUUUUGAAACUAAUGAAGAAAAAAUUGCCAAAAUUGCCAAAGCUUUUAGGACUCUUAAAAAUAUAGUAACAUUGAGUAUUAUGAACUAAAGACUCAUACUAUUAUAUCAGUGUCUGGUAGUGAAUUUGGAUGGAGGACUGUCUAGUAACUUCUUAACAAAA
This is a long non-coding RNA of Homo sapiens (human), 1326 nucleotides long. RefSeq annotates it as EXOC3 antisense RNA 1. The transcript has a single exon. Lineage: Eukaryota; Metazoa; Chordata; Mammalia; Primates; Hominidae. The record is from RefSeq and is marked validated.